GCCCCAGUGGCGCAAUUGGUUAGCGCGUCGUACUUAUAGUCAGUACCGAACUGUUAGCGAAAUGCGAAGGGCGUGGGUUCGAUCCCCACCUGGGGCA
This 97-nucleotide transfer RNA is filed under the name Soboliphyme baturini. It matches the Rfam family "tRNA". From Rfam's summary of the family: Transfer RNA (tRNA) molecules are approximately 80 nucleotides in length. Their secondary structure includes four short double-helical elements and three loops (D, anti-codon, and T loops). The record is from Rfam by way of RNAcentral. Lineage: Eukaryota; Metazoa; Nematoda; Enoplea; Dioctophymatida; Soboliphymatidae.